CACGGGGGGAGCAAGCGUUGUUCGGAAUCACUGGGCGUAAAGGGCGUGUAGGCGGUCAAGUAAGUGGAAUGUGAAACGCCUCGGCUUACCCGAGGACCUGCAUCCCAAACUGCUUGGCUUGAGUAUGGGAGAGGAUGAGGGGAUUCCUGGUGUAGCGGUGAAAUGCGUAGAUAUCAGGAGGAACACCGGUGGCGAAAGCGCUCAUCUGGCCCAAUACUGACGCUGAGGCGCGAAAGCGUGGGGAGCGAACAGG
Molecule: ribosomal RNA, 253 nt
Filed under: uncultured bacterium
Lineage: Bacteria
Description: partial 16S ribosomal RNA
Rfam family: Bacterial small subunit ribosomal RNA
Source: RNAcentral